This 406-nucleotide ribosomal RNA is filed under the name uncultured bacterium. Its description in RNAcentral is "partial 16S ribosomal RNA". It matches the Rfam family "Bacterial small subunit ribosomal RNA", at positions 28 to 526 of the family's 1533-position model. The record is from RNAcentral.
GACGAACGCUGGCGGCGUGCCUAAUACAUGCAAGUCGAGCGAGCGGCGGACGGGUGAGUAAUGUAUGGGCAUCUGCCUGAUGGAGGGGGAUAACUACUGGAAACGGUGGCUAAUACCGCAUACGGUCCGAUGAACCCAUAUGGGAUUAGCUAGUGGGUGGGGUAACGGCUCACCUAGGCGACGAUCCCUAGCUGGUCUGAGAGGAUGAUCGGCCACACUGGGACUGAGACACGGCCCAGACUCCUACGGGAGGCAGCAGUGGGGAAUAUUGCACAAUGGGCGCAAGCCUGAUGCAGCCAUGCCGCGUGUAUGAAGAAGGCUUUCGGGUUGUAAAGUACUGUCAGUCGGGAGGCGUUACCUACAGAAGAAGCACCGGCUAACUCCGUGCCAGCAGCCGCGGUAAUAC